CCUACGGGGGGCUGCAGUGGGGAAUAUUGGACAAUGGGGGGAACCCUGAUCCAGCCAUGCCGCGUGUGUGAAGAAGGCCCUCGGGUUGUAAAGCACUUUCAGUGAGGAAGAACGCCUGGUGGUUAAUACCCAUCAGGAAAGACAUCACUCACAGAAGAAGCACCGGCUAACUCCGUGCCAGCAGCCGCGGUAAUACGGAGGGUGCGAGCGUUUAUCGUAAUUACUGGGCGUAAAGCGCGCGUAGGUGGCUUGAUAAGCCGGUUGUGAAAGCCCCGGGCUCAACCUGGGAACAGCAUCCGGAACUGUCAAGCUAGAGUGCAGGAGAGGAAGGUAGAAUUCCCGGUGUAGCGGUGAAAUGCGUAGAGAUCGGGAGGAAUACCAGUGGCGAAGGCGGCCUUCUGGACUGACACUGACACUGAGGUGCGAAAGCGUGGGUAGCAAACAGGAUCAGAUACCCUAGUAGUC
RNAcentral lists this ribosomal RNA (465 nucleotides) under Vreelandella stevensii. Its description in RNAcentral is "partial 16S ribosomal RNA". It matches the Rfam family "Bacterial small subunit ribosomal RNA", at positions 338 to 795 of the family's 1533-position model. Lineage: Bacteria; Pseudomonadati; Pseudomonadota; Gammaproteobacteria; Oceanospirillales; Halomonadaceae. The record is from RNAcentral.